CCUACGGGGGGCAGCAGUGGGGAAUAUUGCACAAUGGGGGAAACCCUGAUGCAGCGACGCCGCGUGAGUGAGGAAGUAUUUCGGUAUGUAAAGCUCUAUCAGCAGGGAAGAAGAUGACGGUACCUGACUAAGAAGCCCCGGCUAACUACGUGCCAGCAGCCGCGGUAAUACGUAGGGGGCAAGCGUUAUCCGGAAUUACUGGGUGUAAAGGGAGCGUAGACGGUUAAGUAAGUCUGGAGUGAAAGGCCGGGGCCCAACCCCGGGACUGCUCUGGAAACUAUUGAACUUGAGUGCAGGAGAGGUAA
This 305-nucleotide ribosomal RNA is filed under the name uncultured bacterium. RNAcentral describes it as "bacterial SSU rRNA". It matches the Rfam family "Bacterial small subunit ribosomal RNA", at positions 338 to 660 of the family's 1533-position model. The record is from RNAcentral.